AUUGAACGCUGGCGGCAGGCUUAACACAUGCAAGUCGAGCGGAGAUGAGGUGCUUGCACCUUAUCUUAGCGGCGGACGGGUGAGUAAUGCUUAGGAAUCUGCCUAUUAGUGGGGGUCAACAUUCCGAAAGGAAUGCUAAUACCGCAUACGUCCUACGGGAGAAAGCAGGGGAUCUUCGGACCUUGCGCUAAUAGAUGAGCCUAAGUCGGAUUAGCUAGUUGGUGGGGUAAAGGCCUACCAAGGCGACGAUCUGUAGCGGGUCUGAGAGGAUGAUCCGCCACACUGGGACUGGGACACGGCCCAGACUCCUACGGGAAGCAGCAGUGGGGAAUAUUGGACAAUGGGGGGAACCCUGAUCCAGCCAUGCCGCGUGUGUGAAGAAGGCCUUAUGGUUGUAAAGCACUUUAAGCGAGGAGGAGGCUACUGAGACUAAUACUCUUGGAUAGUGGACGUUACUCGCAGAAUAAGCACCGGCUAACUCUGUGCCAGCAGCCGCCGUAA
This 501-nucleotide ribosomal RNA is filed under the name uncultured bacterium. RNAcentral's name for it is "partial 16S ribosomal RNA". It matches the Rfam family "Bacterial small subunit ribosomal RNA", at positions 30 to 523 of the family's 1533-position model. The record is from RNAcentral.